AGAGAGAGAGGGAGAGAGGUAUGGGUUUUGGGGCAGAGAUAGUGAUGGCAAUGGCAGGUUUGUGGGGAGUUUUUCUGAGGCCAAUAAUGUUGAGAUUUGCAACAGAUAUUGCAGAAUGGAUGAGAUCCAGUAUUCGCCGGAUUCUCAGGGGAGGAAGCCCAAUUUUAGUUCUCUCUUCCUUUCAGCCUUACUCCUCUUCUUUAUACUAAUCACUGUUAUCCAUUAGAAGCUUUGCGCUUUGGCUUGUUUGCUCGCAUGACAGCUUCAGAGAAUGAACAAGAGAUCUCGAUUUGCUAUGUAUGGCUUGUGUUCUUGUGAAAAGGAAAACGCAAGUAACAAGCAGCUUCCUUUCUGUAUAUCUAAUGGAGAUGAAGUUGAGAACCUGAGCUUUUUGAUGAUGCGCUCAAUAUAGAAACUGACAGGGAAGCCUAAGUUCUUUGUUGUUCCAAGGGGCAUGGAGGAGAUAGUAGGCUACACCAAGAGUCUUGGUUGGGAGAGGGAAGGGGAAGAUCAAAGUUGCUGUCUUGCUGAGUGCCUGAGCUGAGACGCAGGUGGGAGGAUGGAGAAUGUAGGGUCUGACGACUAGGCUUAAGGAGGAAAUGAGUUUGCUCAAUCGGUGUUCACUUCCUUUGUUCCUUAAUGGCUUGAUCAGACUUACCAAAAAAAAAAAAAAAUAAAAAAUACCUUCGACCAGGGGCCAAACGGGCAGGGUAGCUUACCUUGCCUGUUGCCUGCCUUGCCCGUAUAAUAGCCCCGCUGAACAUGCCCAAAACAUGUCAGGCUGCAUUGUUUAGGCCAGACUGAGCAACAUUUUACUGGGCUCGAGAGGGCACACAGGGCAUCCAGGCUUUAUGAACACUCUUAAUUAAGACAAGAUACCAUAACAUGCCCAUGCAUAAUACUAGAAAUGGUAUUUGAACAAGCUUCAAAUAAAACAGUUCAUCUUGAUCGCGCCUAGAGUUUAGGAUUUAGAAUGCCUAUUUGCAAUUGUGUUUCUUCACCAUCUGGAUGAUCAGAUACAAGACUUGAAUAGAAUUUAGCCUAAAAAAUCUUGACUUGCAGCUUUGCUCAGAGCCAUAAUCUGAGCGAUGAGCACUAGAAUCUUUGGUUUCUGCAAUGAGCUUAACUAAUCUUCUUCAUAUGUUUUUCAA
Molecule: long non-coding RNA, 1151 nt
Organism: Prosopis cineraria
Lineage: Eukaryota; Viridiplantae; Streptophyta; Magnoliopsida; Fabales; Fabaceae
Exons: 3
Source: RefSeq, a predicted model, not a curated record